UGGAAGGAGCGAUAUUGGUGAGGUUCAAUCCGAUGCUAGAUUUUACAUCAGUGUUAAGAUCUGUAUCUGAUUGAGCCGUGCCAAUAUCUCUCUUCUUCUA
Brachypodium distachyon (stiff brome) is the source of this 100-nucleotide non-coding RNA. The record is from Rfam. NCBI's taxonomy places the organism in Eukaryota, Viridiplantae, Streptophyta, Magnoliopsida, Poales, Poaceae.